GGCGACGAUCCCUAGCUGGUUNGAGAGGAUGACCAGCCACACUGGAAUGAGACACGGUCCAGACUCCUACGGGAGGCAGCAGUNNNGAAUAUUGCACAAUGGGCGCAAGCNUGAUGCAGCCAUGCCGCGUGUGUGAAGAAGGCCUUCGGGUNGUAAAGCACNUUCAGCNGGGAGGAAGGCGGUGAGGUUAAUAACCUCANCGAUUGACGUUACCCGCAGAAGAAGCACCGGCUAACUCCGUGCCAGCAGCCGCGGUAAUACGGAGGGUGCAAGCGUUAAUCGGAAUUACUGGGCGUAAAGCGCACGCAGGCGGUCUGUCAAGUCGGAUGUGAAAUCCCCGGGCUCAACCUGGGAACUGCAUUCGAAACUGGCAGGCUAGAGUCUUGUAGAGGGGGGUAGAAUUCCAGGUGUAGCGGUGAAAUGCGUAGAGAUCUGGAGGAAUACCGGUGGCGAAGGCGGCCCCCUGGACAAAGACUGACGCUCAGGUGNGAAAGCGUGGGGAGCAAACAGGAUUAGAUACCNUGGUAGUCCACGCUGUAAACGANGUCGAUUUGGAGGUUGUGCCCUUGAGGCGUGGCUUCCGGAGCUAACGCGUUAAAUCGACCGCCUGGGGAGUACGGCCGCAAGGUUAAAACUCAAAUGAAUUGACGGGGGCCCGCACAAGCGGUGGAGCAUGUGGUUUANUUNGAUGCAACGCGAAGAACCUUACCU
RNAcentral lists this ribosomal RNA (711 nucleotides) under Klebsiella variicola. RNAcentral's name for it is "bacterial SSU rRNA". It matches the Rfam family "Bacterial small subunit ribosomal RNA", at positions 272 to 976 of the family's 1533-position model. The record is from RNAcentral. Lineage: Bacteria; Pseudomonadati; Pseudomonadota; Gammaproteobacteria; Enterobacterales; Enterobacteriaceae.